UGAGCAAUCUGCCCUUCUCAUCGGAAUAAGCGUUGGAAACGACGUCUAAUGCCGAAUACGACCUCCUUUCGCAUGAUCGGAGGUGGAAAGCUCCGGCGGAGAAGGAUGAGCUCGCGGCCUAUCAGCUAGUUGGUGAGGUAAAGGCUCACCAAGGCGACGACGGGUAGCCGGCCUGAGAGGGUGACCGGCCACACUGGGACUGAGACACGGCCCAGACUCCGUACGGGAGC
This 230-nucleotide ribosomal RNA is filed under the name uncultured bacterium. RNAcentral describes it as "partial 16S ribosomal RNA". It matches the Rfam family "Bacterial small subunit ribosomal RNA", at positions 118 to 347 of the family's 1533-position model. The record is from RNAcentral.